Populus trichocarpa (black cottonwood) is the source of this 133-nucleotide non-coding RNA. NCBI's taxonomy places the organism in Eukaryota, Viridiplantae, Streptophyta, Magnoliopsida, Malpighiales, Salicaceae. The record is from Rfam.
UAAUAUAUCUGAGAUAUAUUUUUAUUUAGAUAUGAUAGAUCCAUACCUAACCACUUAUAAUCACGCGUCGUCACGGCUUAGGUUAUAUCAAAGAAAUUUCUUUCAAGAAAGAAAAUGAAACUUUCUUUUUAGC